AGUGAGCCCGAGCGCGCGGGUGGGCGUGUUUGCGCACCGGCUACAGCCGCAGCGAAGCUUGAUGGCGGCCGUCUGAGGGGCUGAAGCUGGGUUUUGCUGAAUUGCUGAGGCUGACCUGGAAUGUGUGAUCCUCCUGCCAUAGUCUCCCGAGUUGCUGGGAUUAUAGUUAUGUACCACCUCUCCUAGCAACAACCAGGUUUUUAAAUUUUCAAGCAGUUGUGGACCAAUCGAAAUACAACAGAAAUGGACUGCCAGAGAAGAUAAUAAACAUGAUGUUUCUUUUUAAAUUCUGUAGACAAAAAAUUAUGGUCAAAUGCUAUAAAAGAUUCCUAAGGUAUA
Marmota monax (woodchuck) is the source of this 339-nucleotide long non-coding RNA. RefSeq lists it as uncharacterized. The transcript has 2 exons. The record is from RefSeq and is a predicted model, not a curated record. NCBI's taxonomy places the organism in Eukaryota, Metazoa, Chordata, Mammalia, Rodentia, Sciuridae.